UACGUAGGGUCCGAGCGUUGUCCGGAAUUAUUGGGCGUAAAGGGCUCGUAGGCGGUUUGUCGCGUCGGGAGUGAAAACACGGGGCUUAACCCCGAGCCUGCUUCCGAUACGGGCUGACUAGAGGUAUGCAGGGGAGAACGGAAUUCCUGGUGUAGCGGUGAAAUGCUUAGAGAUCGUCCAGAACACCGAUAGCGAAGGCAGCUUACUAAAGAGUAACUGACGCUGAGGCACGAAAGUGUGGGGAUCAAACAGG
This 253-nucleotide ribosomal RNA is filed under the name uncultured bacterium. RNAcentral's name for it is "partial 16S ribosomal RNA". It matches the Rfam family "Bacterial small subunit ribosomal RNA", at positions 524 to 776 of the family's 1533-position model. The record is from RNAcentral.